Long non-coding RNA from Chenopodium quinoa (quinoa), 866 nucleotides. RefSeq lists it as uncharacterized. The record is from RefSeq and is a predicted model, not a curated record. The transcript is spliced from 2 exons. Lineage: Eukaryota; Viridiplantae; Streptophyta; Magnoliopsida; Caryophyllales; Amaranthaceae.
AUUGAAAUAAGACUGAGAAACUAAUAUUGUGUGCAUUAUGCUUCUCUUGUGUUAUCUCCUUAUGUGUGUCCUUGUGUUGUGCUAAUGGAGAGGCACUAGACUCGUUUUCAUGGUCCAUGUUACUGUUUUUGGUCAUAAUCAGGCGCAAUAUAAAAAAAAUUUAAGCAAUGUACGGGGGCAUUAAUUUUCUGCACCGUUUUGAUUUUUUUUUUUUUUUGAUGGGAGAAGAAUGAUAAGGAAAUUCUUGGUAUAAAUUUUGACAUCUUUACAGACUUACAGUUUUUAGCUUCUCUUAGCUACACACUUCUAACAAAUUUCCUAAUGUGCCCCUUCUAGAAAUAAUGGUGGCAACUUAAUUAGUUCACCUACAGUGCAUGAAUCUGGUGCUUUUGAUUCCAGAAUACCUUUGACUACUACUUAGUUCUAUUUCUUGGUUGUUAUUUAGCUAGUACUUUGUUAUAUUCCGGGGGUGCUAUUUUGUUUUUCAGACUUGGAAUGCUUAUCUUUUGGUGCAUGGGGAGUCAAAUGGAGCGGAAGUAUAGUGACUAGCCAUCUAACAAAUGGUGCAUAUAUGUUGGCGACUCUUAUUCAAGUUCCGGCUUUGUGAAGAUUUGGAUAUUUCGGCUUAUAUAUAUGUUGACAAUUUGUAUUUUGGACGAUCAAAUUAAUUAUCUAACUUUUAUUUAUUAUUAGUACGGUAUGUCAUAUCAAAAAUAGGCAAGUAAUAUUUUGUAAUGUAUGUAUUUUGUAUUAUAAUUAUUAUAUAUAAAUGAUACUUUAAUUUGUUUAUGUUAGUAUAUUUAGAUUUGUGCCGACUAAUUAAUAUUAUAUUACUAUUCCAUCCCAACAAAAAAAAAAAAAAAAAA